AUUCCGUGAUGAGGGCACUUUCAUAAUAAUUCUUUGUACCUUUCCCAUGCCUCAUAUAAGGAAUUAUCAUCCAUUUGUUGGAAAGCAGUGAUCUCAUUCCUCAACUU
Molecule: small nucleolar RNA, 107 nt
Filed under: Gossypium hirsutum (cotton)
Lineage: Eukaryota; Viridiplantae; Streptophyta; Magnoliopsida; Malvales; Malvaceae
Description: Plant small nucleolar RNA R71
Rfam family: Plant small nucleolar RNA R71
About the family: R71 is a member of the C/D box family of snoRNAs containing the C (UGAUGA) and D (CUGA) box motifs. Multiple nearly identical copies of this snoRNA have been identified in Arabidopsis, and it is thought to function as a 2'-O-ribose methylation guide for 18S ribosomal RNA.
Source: Rfam by way of RNAcentral